Molecule: ribosomal RNA, 634 nt
Filed under: Pelagia noctiluca
Lineage: Eukaryota; Metazoa; Cnidaria; Scyphozoa; Semaeostomeae; Pelagiidae
Description: eukaryotic LSU rRNA
Rfam family: Eukaryotic large subunit ribosomal RNA
Source: RNAcentral
UGAAAAGAACUUUGAAAAGAGAGUUAAAAAGUGCGUGAAACCGUUAGUGGGGAAACGGAUGCAGUUAGCAAUGCUUCGGCGAGAUUCAGGCGGUCACCUGGCUGGACGGGCAGUGUGUGGAUCCGAAUGGACUGUCGCUGCUUGGCUUGGUCUUGUGCUCGUCGCACUUCUCGUCGGAGCGCGUCAACAGCUGCUUGACUUGAGCGAUACGGUGCUCGGGAAGGUAGGCGUGUGUCUUCGGACUUGCGUUGUUAUAGCCCGUGGCAUUCCCAGUUCGAGUUUGGCAGAGGCGAACGGUGCAUGCUCUCUAGGGGGCUGGCGUCCUUCUCUUGAUCGAUUGUCGAGCAUGGCGGACUGCUUGCAGUGCGUCUGAACUGCUGUUGGUCAUUCGGGAGGAUCGCGCACACUAUGCACCUAGGUUGUUGGCGGCCAUAUGGCUUCAUCUGACCCGUCUUGAAACACGGACCAAGGAGUCUAACAUGUGCGCAAGUCUUGGGGUGACCGAAACCCAAAGGCGCAAUGAAAGUAAAGGCUGCCUGGCAGCCGAGGUGAGAUCUUCGUUCCGCGUGUCCGAAGCGCAUCAUCGACCGACCUAUUCUACUCCUAGAAAGUUUGAGAAGAGCGCAUCUGUUGG